GCUAAGUUUGGCGGAGGUAAAGGCUCUCCCAAGGCGACGAUGCGUAGACCGACCUGAGAGGGGUGAUCGGCCACACUGGGGAUUGAGAGCAAGGGCCAGAGUCCUACGCGAGGCAGCAGUAGGGAAUCUUUCGCAAUGGAGCGAGAAGUCUGACGGAGCAACGUCGCGUGAGUGAUGAAGGUUUUCGGAUCGUAAAACUUUGUUUUUAGGGAAGAACAAAUGCAAGAGUAAAUGCUUGCACCUUGACGGUACCUAACCAGAAAGACACGGGUAAAUACGUGCCAGCAGCCGCGGUAAUACGUAGGUGGCAAGCGUUGUCCUGAAUUAUUGGGCGUAAAAGGCUCGCAGGCGGUUUUUUAAGUCUGAUGUGAAAGCCCCCGGCUCAACCGGGGAGGGUCACUUGGAAACUGGGAAACUUGAGUGCAGAAGAGGAGAGUGGAAUUUUCACGUGUAUCGGUGAAAUGCGUAUAGAUGUGGAGGAACACCAGUGGCGAAGGCGCCUCUCUGGUCUGUAACUGACGCUGAGGAGCGAAAGCGUGGGGAGCGAACACGAUUAGAUACCCUGGUAGUGCACGCCGUAAACGAUGAGUCAUAAGUGUUAGGGGGUUUCCUGACGCGCCUUAGUACUGCAGCUAACGCAUUAAACAUUCCGGCCUGGGAUACGGCCCCUCC
Molecule: ribosomal RNA, 672 nt
Filed under: bacterium
Lineage: Bacteria
Description: bacterial SSU rRNA
Rfam family: Bacterial small subunit ribosomal RNA
Source: RNAcentral